Mastomys coucha (southern multimammate mouse) is the source of this 546-nucleotide long non-coding RNA. RefSeq lists it as uncharacterized. NCBI's taxonomy places the organism in Eukaryota, Metazoa, Chordata, Mammalia, Rodentia, Muridae. The transcript is spliced from 3 exons. The record is from RefSeq and is a predicted model, not a curated record.
AAAACCAAACAAGCCAGCCUGUGCCUGGGAUGUCCCUGGGCUCCAGGGAGGAAAAGACAGCUUUGUUAUUUGACCAGCAGCCCUGGGCAGUCUCUGGUUUUUGGUUGAGUCCCGGACCAUUGGCUUGUAUGCGACCUACAUCAAGGACUACAAAAACAGGAAGCCUGUUGUGGUGGUCUGACAUGCCUCGGUGCAUCUUAACUUUCUGCCAAGGAGCUUGGGACCACUUAGGCCCCCAAUGAGAAAAGAAGAAAAAAGUGCUUUGCUUCAGUGUCUCUUCCAAAAUUCACACUGGAAUUUAAUCUGUAGUGUAAAGUAUGCAGAGGAGGCACCAGGUCAAAGGAGACAACAGGAAGGAGUGAGGCAUUUAGCGUGGUAUCUCACACUCCGGCUGGUGGAGUUGCUUCCGAAUAGUUUAGGUCUACAGUGAUGGGUGGACAAGGAAGAAACCAAACCAAACCAAAGCCCAUGAAGGAGCAGACAUGAUUCAAGAUCACAGAAGGAAGUUUUAUGAAAGCAUAAGUAUAAAAAUAACCAAGGUGGAAA